Molecule: ribosomal RNA, 624 nt
Filed under: Enterococcus faecalis
Lineage: Bacteria; Bacillati; Bacillota; Bacilli; Lactobacillales; Enterococcaceae
Description: bacterial SSU rRNA
Rfam family: Bacterial small subunit ribosomal RNA
Source: RNAcentral
AUUGACGGGGGCCCGCACAAGCGGUGGAGCAUGUGGUUUAAUUCGAAGCAACGCGAAGAACCUUACCAGGUCUUGACAUCCUUUGACCACUCUAGAGAUAGAGCUUUCCCUUCGGGGACAAAGUGACAGGUGGUGCAUGGUUGUCGUCAGCUCGUGUCGUGAGAUGUUGGGUUAAGUCCCGCAACGAGCGCAACCCUUAUUGUUAGUUGCCAUCAUUUAGUUGGGCACUCUAGCGAGACUGCCGGUGACAAACCGGAGGAAGGUGGGGAUGACGUCAAAUCAUCAUGCCCCUUAUGACCUGGGCUACACACGUGCUACAAUGGGAAGUACAACGAGUCGCUAGACCGCGAGGUCAUGCAAAUCUCUUAAAGCUUCUCUCAGUUCGGAUUGCAGGCUGCAACUCGCCUGCAUGAAGCCGGAAUCGCUAGUAAUCGCGGAUCAGCACGCCGCGGUGAAUACGUUCCCGGGCCUUGUACACACCGCCCGUCACACCACGAGAGUUUGUAACACCCGAAGUCGGUGAGGUAACCUUUUUGGAGCCAGCCGCCUAAGGUGGGAUAGAUGAUUGGGGUGAAGUCGUAACAAGGUAGCCGUAUCGGAAGGUGCGGCUGGAUCACCUCCUUU